Molecule: transfer RNA, 71 nt
Filed under: Draco guentheri
Lineage: Eukaryota; Metazoa; Chordata; Lepidosauria; Squamata; Agamidae
Description: tRNA-Trp
Source: RNAcentral
AGACUUAGGAUAAAUUAAACCAAGGGCCUUCAAAGCUCUAAACAGGAGCACCAACCUCUUAGCCUCUGCCU